ACCUGUGAAGCAAUGGGUCAGUGUGUCUGGCUGUUAAGCAGAAGGUUGGUGGUUGAAGCCCACCCAGGAACA
Molecule: transfer RNA, 72 nt
Filed under: Podarcis lilfordi (Lilford's wall lizard)
Lineage: Eukaryota; Metazoa; Chordata; Lepidosauria; Squamata; Lacertidae
Description: tRNA.Asn
Rfam family: tRNA
About the family: Transfer RNA (tRNA) molecules are approximately 80 nucleotides in length. Their secondary structure includes four short double-helical elements and three loops (D, anti-codon, and T loops). Further hydrogen bonds mediate the characteristic L-shaped molecular structure. tRNAs have two regions of fundamental functional importance: the anti-codon, which is responsible for specific mRNA codon recognition, and the 3' end, to which the tRNAs corresponding amino acid is attached (by aminoacyl-tRNA synthetases). tRNAs cope with the degeneracy of the genetic code in two manners: having more than one tRNA (with a specific anti-codon) for a particular amino acid; and 'wobble' base-pairing, i.e. permitting non-standard base-pairing at the 3rd anti-codon position.
Source: RNAcentral